This 433-nucleotide ribosomal RNA is filed under the name uncultured bacterium. RNAcentral describes it as "partial 16S ribosomal RNA". It matches the Rfam family "Bacterial small subunit ribosomal RNA", at positions 29 to 507 of the family's 1533-position model. The record is from RNAcentral.
AACGAACGCUGGCGGCAUGCCUAACACAUGCAAGUCGAACGAGACCUUCGGGUCUAGUGGCGCACGGGUGCGUAACGCGUGGGAACCUGCCCUUAGGUUCGGAAUAACUCCCCGAAAGGGGUGCUAAUACCGGUUAAUGUCUUCGGACCAAAGAUUUAUCGCCUUUGGAUGGGCCCGCGUUGGAUUAGCUAGUUGGUAGGGUAAAAGCAUAACAAGGCGACGAUACAUAGCUGGUCUGAGAGGAUGAUCAGCCACACUGGGACUGAGACACGGCCGAGACUACUACGGGAGGCAGCAGUGGGGAAUAUUGGAAAAUGGGCGAAAGCCUGAUCAAGCAAUGACGCGUGAGUGAUGAAGGCAUUAGGGUUGUAAAGCUCUUUUACACGGGAAGAUAAUGACAGUAACGGGAGAAUAAGCUCCGGCUAACUACGUG